UUGCACUGUCUUUGAACCUUGUUGGUCUUGUCCAUGACCUCUUAGGCCAAGCUACAGUGCUAAAGCAAAGUGAGACUUGUUCAUAACUGGGGCCUCCUGGCAACACUUCCCAGGUUGCUCUUUUAAAAGCAAGUCACAGCU
Molecule: small nucleolar RNA, 141 nt
Organism: Lates calcarifer (barramundi perch)
Lineage: Eukaryota; Metazoa; Chordata; Actinopteri; Centropomidae
Source: Ensembl